Molecule: non-coding RNA, 28 nt
Filed under: Homo sapiens (human)
Lineage: Eukaryota; Metazoa; Chordata; Mammalia; Primates; Hominidae
Source: RNAcentral
UGUGCUGGAACUCGAGUGAACACUUGGC